GUAGGGAAUAUUGGACAAUGGGUGCAAGCCUGAUCCAGCCAUGCCGCGUGCAGGAAGAAGGCCUUCUGGGUCGUAAACUGCUUUUGCCGGGGGAUAAAAUAGCUUUGCGAAGCGAAUUGAAGGUACCUGGUGAAUAAGCCACGGCUAACUACGUGCCAGCAGCCGCGGUAAUACGUAGGUGGCAAGCGUUGUCCGGAUUUAUUGGGUUUAAAGGGUGCGUAGGCGGUCAAAUAAGUCAGUGGUGAAAUACGGCAGCUUAACUGUCGAGGUGCCAUUGAUACUGCUUGACUUGAGUACUGAUGAGGUAGGCGGAAUGGACGGUGUAGCGGUGAAAUGCUUAGAGAUCGUCCAGAACACCGAUAGCGAAGGCAGCUUACUAAGGAGUAACUGACGCUGAGGCACGAAAGUGUGGGGAUCAAACAGGAUUAGAUACCCCAGUAGUCC
RNAcentral lists this ribosomal RNA (444 nucleotides) under uncultured bacterium. Its description in RNAcentral is "bacterial SSU rRNA". It matches the Rfam family "Bacterial small subunit ribosomal RNA", at positions 354 to 796 of the family's 1533-position model. The record is from RNAcentral.